Molecule: transfer RNA, 85 nt
Filed under: Actinoplanes philippinensis
Lineage: Bacteria; Bacillati; Actinomycetota; Actinomycetes; Micromonosporales; Micromonosporaceae
Description: tRNA-Pro
Source: RNAcentral
CGGCGAGCCGGCGGCGGUCCUCGGGCUCGGCGUCCGGGCCGGCGAUCACGUCGGCGCAGGCCCGGAUCGUGUCCGGCUCGCCGUC